CCACUGAAAAAUGAGGUGUUGAAUUUUUUAUUCCAUUACUAUCCUACAAAUGUCAGGUACUACACACUCAAGCACGUUUAUAUUACAAUACAAUAUAGUGCUCCAUUUAAAACACAGCCACAGGUCAGAACACACAGUACUGUUUACAGUUCAGAUACAGACGCUCAAUUUGGCUAUGAGUCAGAGUUCACACACAAACUAAUGGUUUCAUCAACGAGUCACACUUUGUCCACACCUCCUCUCAAGGUGACCGCACUGCAAUCUGAUCUCAGCCCACGUGAGCCUUUCGAUCUCAUCUGUUCUCAAGCGCAGCUACUAUGACCAACCGGCGGGUGCAUUUCAUCAGCAUACCGGUAUCUGAACCAGAACAGGAAUGUUCCGGAGGAUUCAGAGAUACACAUCAGCUUCUGUGUUUUAUUCAGCAACCCACGCAGAGAGCCCGGGAGAGGCCCAGCUCUGCAAGCCUGCGUAUGUGAGAGAAGCAGUUUCCAGGGGGAUGGAGAAGAACAAUUAAAGCCACUUCUCAGGCUGGACGGUGUUUAGGAAGUGUAAAUGUGUAUGAGCAGAGAGGAGACUGGAGCAGGCUGACAUGGCAAGACAAUCAAGCCCAGUGUGUUUCACUCUCAGUACCAGGCAGCAUGCUGCACAUAAAGGCUAUCUGUCCCUGCAGGGCUUCUGUCUGUCAGCCUUCCUAGCUGCUAAUUUUGUGACCUUACCAGAAUAAAGAGAGAAAGAAAAGCCGGAAAAAAGCCAUCUUUCACUCUGUUUCUUGCUCACUCUUUCAAGCUCUCCCCCUCUCACUGUGUCUCAUGCACACUGCCGUGCUGAGAUCGAGAAAUCCCCCUCCAGGCGAAAUUGACUUCACACGAUCACUUCUACGUCUGGUGACUGACAUGAGCUCUCUAAAAAUAUCUCCUUCACUGGCAAUGGAUUGCUUUCGAGCUGCACCUCCUGUCAGAACACACUCAAAUACAGGCUGAAAUGUGUAUGUGUGCUUGUGUGGUGGGGGAGGAGUGGCAAGAAUGAGAGGAGGAACGAAAAAACUGACAGCAGUGGGAAAACAGUGCACCUUCUGAACAUGGAGUUAUCAAGCAGCACCAAGCAGGGGUUGAGACACAGGAUCAGACAAGCCCGAGGCUGCCUCACAGAGUACACACACACACACACAAAACAAAAAUCUCUCACUCAUACCUCUCAAACACAUACCGAAGGAGGUGGGAUUGAAGGAAAUGACGUACACACAGCAGAAAACUGAGGUUGGAGUUCUCCAAGUUCCCAGACACAACAUAUUUGACAGUUACACAAAGCGUAACUGUUAGGGAAGUACACACACUCUGCACCUGGGUCAGAGGAAAUGACUCUCCAUACCAGGUGGUGGCAGUAGUCUGUAUUGGUGGCAGUAGUCUGUAAUUAAAAAAAAAAAAAGAAAAAGAAAAACAGAAGUCCAGAGAUUGUCCACCUACCAGUAUUAUUUUAUAAUAUUUAAUGUUGUAGUUGUGUGGGACAUAACCAUAAUGAAAUCAUCAUAACGAAAGUGAGUCCCCUCUAACAUUGUGUAUGCUAGUGUGUGUGCUCCUGGUCGUGAAUUAUUUGGAUAAUCUUACACUAUUGCCAAGAAUUUGAUUUGAGACAUUAAGUAUGCUUUAAAUAAGUAAUAAAACUGAAAUUUAUUCUUUUCCAAUAAGAGCUUGUCCUUAAGUGUUUUAUUUCUCUUGUAUCACAGCAA
This is a long non-coding RNA of Pangasianodon hypophthalmus (striped catfish), 1726 nucleotides long. RefSeq lists it as uncharacterized. The record is from RefSeq and is a predicted model, not a curated record. The transcript has 3 exons. NCBI's taxonomy places the organism in Eukaryota, Metazoa, Chordata, Actinopteri, Siluriformes, Pangasiidae.